Melospiza georgiana is the source of this 2606-nucleotide long non-coding RNA. RefSeq lists it as uncharacterized. The transcript is spliced from 2 exons. Lineage: Eukaryota; Metazoa; Chordata; Aves; Passeriformes; Passerellidae. The record is from RefSeq and is a predicted model, not a curated record.
GGCCUUGUGUGGAUAGACAAGGAGCUCUUGGACAAGCUCAGACACCAAAAGGAGGCCUAUGGAGCGUGAGAGCCUGGAGCUGAAACCUGGCAGGAAUACAGAGAGGAUGUCCCAUCAGCCAGGGAUCACGUUAGAGGAGGAUGUGCUCCAGCCACACUGCCCGAGCUGCAGAAGGGAAAGGCGGGGACUGGAGGACUGAAGAGUCACCUGCUGGAGAAGAUCGGAUUCAAAGCUAUCUGAAGCACCUGAAGGUGCACAAGCCCAUGGGACCUGAUGAGAUGUAUCCACACAUCCUAAAGGAACUGGUGUCUGGAACUGGUGACACAGGCCUUCCUGUAUUUUAGGUGUGUUUCCUUGGAGAGAAGCAAGAGGUUUGGACACAUUCCCUAUUUUUACCAGCUAUUUUUCCAUGCAAUCCUUCAAAACCCGACAGGGCUACUGCCAAAGCUGAACCCUGUGGGGUGUAAGGAAUGUCCCCUGCCUGGGGGACACAUCCACCCACACCAGUGCUCAUGGCAUUGCUGGGCUCCCCCAGCCCCACUGCAAGCUCCCCAUGGCAAAGCUGCAGGCAGCAGGCAUCGUGCUUCACCCUGCACAGCCCUUGCUAUCAGUCAGGGGCUAUGGGAUGCAGAAUUUGAAUCUGAACCCACUCUUUUUUAUGCCACCACAUCCAGUUUCUGACACAGGCAGCAUUGCAUGAAGAGAUGGGCAAGAAAAAGAUAAAAGCAGUGUUCAUUGCCCUGUGAUCCCAGCUUCCAGGAGCACUUGUAACACACACAGUGCCACUGCUUUCUUUGUUCCCUGUAAGGAGGCUCAGUUUGGGCCAAGGCCCAAGCUCAGCCCCUGCACUGAUCAGAUUUGGCUGCCAGCCUGGUGAGUGCCUAUCCUGUGGUCACAUCAACCCUCCUGCCUGCCAGCAGCUCCUUGCAGUUGCCAGGAGCCAGCGUGAAAGGGACCAGGAGGGGGAAAAGGGAAGCACAGAGGUGGUUGGAGGAGCUGUGUCCAUCAUCCAUGGCAGAGGCCUUGCUGUAACCUCAUGGUGCCUGUGAUGGGGUUUCCUGGCUCUGACUGGGCUCCCAUCAGUCAGCCACACACUGAUCCCAAUCCUACACCAGGAUUCCAGUCAUGAGCUCCUACCAGGCAUGGCUCAGGAGAACUUUAGUUCCAGGCAGCUUUAGGUCUAGCGAAGGAGACCUUUUGAUUUACCAGACACCCAGGCUCCUGGGCUCAGCUGUCAGCAGAGUAGGCAAGCAGCUUGAGAUGUGGGAAAGGCAGUUUUGUAGCACAAACCCCAAAUCCUGCAACAGGACAAUUCCUCAAAAAAGCAGGAACUCUUCACUUCUUAUCUUCAAGGCUGGAGAGCAGCAUGGGAAAAGCAAAGCUGUUCUGGUUAUACCAAUAGACUGGAAACAUGCCCUAGCACAAUGCUCCCUUUUUCCUAUGUGCUGCUGCUCUGUCCUCUAUCUUUAGCCCUUCCAGCUGCAUCCCUGCAUGCAUGCUCGUACAAAAAUGCCCAAGCAGAGUAAAAACCAGUAGCCCUUAGCCUCUGGUGGCUAUAAUUCAGCAAUGGCCUGAGGAACCUGGCCCCAGCUGCUGCAGGACCCCCCCAGGAGGAAGCACAUUCACAGCACAUCAGCUGUAGUGCACUUUGCUAAAUCUGAGUGACUUUCUGCAUGUCCAAGUGAGGAACAGUCCACAGGAGACAGGAUGGAAAUUGCCCUUGGGGAUUUCACAAGGAUGCUGUGAAACACACACAGCUUCUCAAGCUUUUCUGAGAACUCAGCUGCUCAGCAGUGAAGCUUGUGCCACCACCUCUUCCCCCACAGGGUGAGGUGACACUCAGGACAAGGAACAGCCAUGAUGGGGCUGGCAGAAGCAGUGAGCUUGAGGCCCACAAGCACAAAAAUAAACCUGCUGAAAAAAAAAAAAAAAAAAGAAAAACAUCAGUUUUGCAAGUGGAACAGCAGGAAAUGGAGGGAAGAAACCACACAAGGUGGAAUUUGGAAAGACUUAGCGCAAAUCUAAAUGUCUCUACAUUUUGCCCAAAGGUCAAAAGGGUAUUGAUGCCAACCCAAACUGAGUGGAGCUCCAGCAACCUCUGUUCAUACAUUCAGAGACGCUCGGCUUCUGUGUUUGGCACAACCAUUUAAUAGCAGAAUUGAAAACUCAGUAUGUUCCAUUUUAGUCUUAUGUGGAAAAUCAGUGCAGGUGAUAAUCUAAUUGUACAACAACAUGUUAAAAAAAUUUAUUUUACAUUAUAUACAUUAGGGAACAUAUUUCAAAGCAUUACCCAUCACAACAAUAACGCAGGCCAUAAAUCACUUUUAAUUUAGUUUGGUUUUAGUGUAUAUUAUCACAAUAAAAUAUAAAGAACAUAUACAAAAAAAGGAGUCAAAUGUGUGCAUUUUGCUUAAAACUUGGCAUUUACACACUCCAUUGGAAAAUAGCAAUCAAAAAUACUUCUGAUCAAAACUAAGUUCCCGUGAUGUGUAGUAACCAUUGUAUUGUUUCAAUGAGGUAGUAACUAAAUUUUGGCCAUGUGUUAACAUCCUAAAAUCAAGAAAAGUGUGAAAAUGGUUAUAAGGCCAAAAAAAAAAAAGUCAAAA